RNAcentral lists this ribosomal RNA (948 nucleotides) under Loratospora arezzoensis. RNAcentral's name for it is "SSU rRNA". It matches the Rfam family "Eukaryotic small subunit ribosomal RNA", at positions 91 to 1049 of the family's 1831-position model. The record is from RNAcentral. Lineage: Eukaryota; Fungi; Ascomycota; Dothideomycetes; Pleosporales; Phaeosphaeriaceae.
GAAUGGCUCAUUAAAUCAGUUAUCGUUUAUUUGAUAGUACCUUACUACUUGGAUAACCGUGGUAAUUCUAGAGCUAAUACAUGCUGAAAACCCCAACUUCGGGAGGGGUGUAUUUAUUAGAUAAAAAACCAACGCCCUUCGGGGCUUCUUGGUGAUUCAUGAUAACUUAACGGAUCGCAUGGCCUUGCGCCGGCGACGGUUCAUUCAAAUUUCUGCCCUAUCAACUUUCGAUGGUAAGGUAUUGGCUUACCAUGGUUUCAACGGGUAACGGGGAAUUAGGGUUCGAUUCCGGAGAGGGAGCCUGAGAAACGGCUACCACAUCCAAGGAAGGCAGCAGGCGCGCAAAUUACCCAAUCCCGACACGGGGAGGUAGUGACAAUAAAUACUGAUACAGGGCUCUUUUGGGUCUUGUAAUUGGAAUGAGUACAAUUUAAACCUCUUAACGAGGAACAAUUGGAGGGCAAGUCUGGUGCCAGCAGCCGCGGUAAUUCCAGCUCCAAUAGCGUAUAUUAAAGUUGUUGCAGUUAAAAAGCUCGUAGUUGAAACUUGGGUCUGGCUGGCAGGUCCGCCUCACCGCGUGUACUUGUCCGGCCGGGCCUUCCUUCUGGAGAACCUCAUGCCCUUCACUGGGCGUGUUGGGGACCAGGACUUUUACUUUGAAAAAAUUAGAGUGUUCAAAGCAGGCCUUUGCUCGAAUACGUUAGCAUGGAAUAAUAGAAUAGGACGUGCGGUCCUAUUUUGUUGGUUUCUAGGACCGCCGUAAUGAUUAAUAGGGACAGUCGGGGGCAUCAGUAUUCAAUUGUCAGAGGUGAAAUUCUUGGAUUUAUUGAAGACUAACUACUGCGAAAGCAUUUGCCAAGGAUGUUUUCAUUAAUCAGUGAACGAAAGUUAGGGGAUCGAAGACGAUCAGAUACCGUCGUAGUCUUAACCGUAAACUAUGCCGACUAG